This 331-nucleotide long non-coding RNA is filed under the name Homo sapiens (human). RNAcentral describes it as "non-protein coding lnc-NEK1-1:1". The record is from RNAcentral. Lineage: Eukaryota; Metazoa; Chordata; Mammalia; Primates; Hominidae.
UUGCUAGUGGCUACAAUCUAGCAAGGCUUAGAGGCGGCACAGCCUUCUUAAUCAGGUCCUGCUACGUAUGACAAUGACUAAGCUCCAAGUACAACACACAAAACUGGUUUGAGAAUUUUGAAACACUCACAAUACAGCUUCGGUAGCAUCAGUGGAGGAAAGGCUGGACCCUGUAUUUGUGUUGUGUACCCUCACUCUAGGAGGUGUCUUCACACUAAGAGAUGGCCACUCAGCUUCUGGCAUUAUCACUCUGCAUCUACUUUGCCAAGCUUCUUCUUUUGAAACGUCUUGUGUAGGCAGUAGUUAUGAAUAUGCCACCCAGAAGAAUACC